This 253-nucleotide ribosomal RNA is filed under the name uncultured bacterium. RNAcentral describes it as "partial 16S ribosomal RNA". It matches the Rfam family "Bacterial small subunit ribosomal RNA", at positions 524 to 776 of the family's 1533-position model. The record is from RNAcentral.
UACAGAGGUCUCAAGCGUUGUUCGGAUUCAUUGGGCGUAAAGGGUGCGUAGGCGGCGCGGUAAGUCGGGUGUGAAAUCUUGGAGCUUAACUCCGAAACUGCAUUCGAUACUGCCGUGCUUGAGGACUGGAGAGGAGACUGGAAUUUACGGUGUAGCGGUGAAAUGCGUAGAUAUCGUAAGGAAGACCAGUGGCGAAGGCGGGUCUCUGGACAGUUCCUGACGCUGAGGCACGAAGGUCAGGGGGGCAAACGGG